UGAGCUGUGAUGAGAAAGCUAACACGUAAGAAGAAUACUCCUUUGUGGGGUACUUUUUCAAUGAAAUACAUUUGUUACGCUUGGCUUCUGAGCUAA
Molecule: small nucleolar RNA, 96 nt
Organism: Arabis alpina (gray rockcress)
Lineage: Eukaryota; Viridiplantae; Streptophyta; Magnoliopsida; Brassicales; Brassicaceae
Rfam family: Small nucleolar RNA R24
About the family: snoR24 is a C/D box small nucleolar RNA which acts as a methylation guide for 18S ribosomal RNA in plants.
Source: Rfam